RNAcentral lists this long non-coding RNA (1639 nucleotides) under Phoenix dactylifera (date palm). RNAcentral describes it as "long non-coding RNA (PDAC_LNC014194)". The record is from RNAcentral. Lineage: Eukaryota; Viridiplantae; Streptophyta; Magnoliopsida; Arecales; Arecaceae.
GGAGCCUAGUGAAAUUGCUUCUGCUAUAGAUUUAAUGGGUUUUCUUCAUUAUUUUAGUUUAAUUUUGUUGUUAUUUUUAUUUUUUCCUAGAUUCUUUUAAUUGGGCUAUAUCUCUUUAAAAUACCCUUUUGGGGCUAAAUUUGUCCAUAUCUUUAAGCAUCUUUUAUGAUUAAGUGACUUAAUGGCACUUUAGAGUUGUCCUUAGCUUUAGUUCUGGAAGUUAUGAGGCUUUUGAAUUUAAGUAUAAUUCGCAUUAUUUAGGGCUUUCAAAGGUGGGAAAAAGUUGGGCACUUUCAUACAGUAGUUUGUAUAGAUGAAGUGUUAAUUUUUCAAUUAAUAAUCAUAUCUUGUCUGGUAUUAUUGGUGUCAUCUUGGGGAAUUUGGCAUGGGUUUGUUGAAUCGGGGACUUAUCUGUUAGCAAUAUAUCAUAUAAAUAAACAAUAAAUCUAUUAAUUCAAUAAAUGGAAAAUCUUAAAGGGAAUAAUAUGCAUGCAUAUUAUUCGGCAUCCAAAUAAUUCUAUUUUAAUGCAAAAUAAAUCUAUUCUAGCACAAAAUAAAUCUAUGCAUUUAAGAAAUUUAUAUUAUAGAAAUUCAAAUCCUACAAAUCUACUAAUAUUAAAUUAAAAAUAAAAGUAGAAGAAAGUAGCCUGAUUGAAGGCAGGUCGAAGCGCGUAGACGCUGUCCCAAAGAAGUAUUUGCCCCCACGUACGGGUCACCCGGCAAUUCUUCUCGGAGAUACGACGACCCUACAACUUCUUCUUCGGCAUGUCUCGGAAGAAGUCAAAGCGAACCUGAUCGGACUUGCAGAUCCAGCAAAGAACGGAAUGAAAGGAACUAAAUAAACUGAAUAAAAAUGUAAAAAUAAAAUUUGGAAGUGGCUAAGAGGGAGAAGAAUUUUUCCAGAAUUUUUUCACUAUUUUUCUGAAAUUUUUCCGUACUUGGAUGAAAUAGGGGGGUUUAUAUAGGGAUUUAUAACAGGGGCAAUAUGGUCUUUUCGGCGGACACGUCCGCGUCCGCGCUCUUCGUGCGAACGUGGGCAACGUGCGCCAGUUGGCGCCCGCUGGCGUGUUCCCAUUUAAACCAAAAACGCCCGUUGGGCGUUUCCAAUUCAAACGGGCACGCCCGUUUUAUUUCUCAAACGCGCACGUGGCCCGAGACCGGCCGCGUGCGUAUUUAAUUCCUUCUUUAAAAGCCUGGUUGUUUCCAAAACCAAACGCCCACGCGGACCGAGACUCGGCCGCGUGCGCAUUUAAUUUUUCCUACAAUCCCCCACAAAAAUUAAUUUUUUUAAAAUAAUUUUUAAAAUCAAAACAAAAUGCUGGAUAUCUUAUAUUAUGUAAUAGGUGUAGGUACCUUUCGGUUUGAACCUUCACUUAGUGACAAUUGAUUACAUCUGUGGAGCCAAGGUGGUAUUAACCUUGAAUCUCGGUCCAUAGCUCAGAUUAAAUCAACAACACACAUAAUAUAGCCCGAUCUAGGUUCUAAGCGGGUUGCGCUGUUAUGGCCAUGCGCAGAUAUCUAUCAUGUGCUUUUUAGGGAAUCGCCCAUUUUCCAUAAUCGCGGCUUCACGACUGCACAUAUAGGUGAGUCCUAAUAAGGAAGCUAGCAAGGAAGCUCCUGCCUCUUGGGUCUCGGACUU